Molecule: ribosomal RNA, 464 nt
Filed under: uncultured Actinomycetes bacterium
Lineage: Bacteria; Bacillati; Actinomycetota; Actinomycetes
Description: bacterial SSU rRNA
Rfam family: Bacterial small subunit ribosomal RNA
Source: RNAcentral
CCUACGGGUGGCAGCAGUGGGGAAUCUUGCACAAUGGGCGAAAGCCUGAUGCAGCGACGCCGCGUGAGGGAAGAAGGCUUUCGGGUUGUAAACCUCUUUCAGGUGGGACGAAGGCCCUCGGGUGAAUAGCCCAGAGACUGACGGUACCGCCAGAAGAAGCCCCGGCUAACUACGUGCCAGCAGCCGCGGUAAUACGUAGGGGGCAAGCGUUGUCCGGAUUUAUUGGGCGUAAAGAGCGUGUAGGCGGCUUGGUAGGUCCGUUGUGAAAACUCGAGGCUCAACCUCGAGACGCCGAUGGAAACCACCAAGCUAGAGUCCGGAAGAGGAGAAUGGAAUUCCUGGUGUAGCGGUGAAAUGCGCAGAUAUCAGGAAGAACACCCGUGGCUAAGGCGGUUCUCUAGUACGGUACUGACGCUGAGACGCGAAAGCGUGGGGAGCGAACAGGAUUAGAUACCCCAGUAGUC